This 453-nucleotide ribosomal RNA is filed under the name Erythrobacter sp. MED13. RNAcentral describes it as "bacterial SSU rRNA". It matches the Rfam family "Bacterial small subunit ribosomal RNA", at positions 10 to 509 of the family's 1533-position model. The record is from RNAcentral. Lineage: Bacteria; Pseudomonadati; Pseudomonadota; Alphaproteobacteria; Sphingomonadales; Erythrobacteraceae.
AGUUUGAUCAUGGCUCAGAACGAACGCUGGCGGCAUGCCUAACACAUGCAAGUCGAACGAGACCUUCGGGUCUAGUGGCGCACGGGUGCGUAACGCGUGGGAACCUGCCCUUAGGUUCGGAAUAACAGUUAGAAAUGACUGCUAAUACCGGAUAAUGUCUUCGGACCAAAGAUUUAUCGCCUUUGGAUGGGCCCGCGUUGGAUUAGAUAGUUGGUGGGGUAAUGGCCUACCAAGUCGACGAUCCAUAGCUGGUCUGAGAGGAUGAUCAGCCACACUGGGACUGAGACACGGCCCAGACUCCUACGGGAGGCAGCAGUGGGGAAUAUUGGACAAUGGGCGAAAGCCUGAUCCAGCAAUGCCGCGUGAGUGAUGAAGGCCUUAGGGUUGUAAAGCUCUUUUACCAGGGAUGAUAAUGACAGUACCUGGAGAAUAAGCUCCGGCUAACUCCGUGCC